RNAcentral lists this long non-coding RNA (250 nucleotides) under Pongo abelii (Sumatran orangutan). RNAcentral's name for it is "lincRNA". Lineage: Eukaryota; Metazoa; Chordata; Mammalia; Primates; Hominidae. The record is from RNAcentral.
GACUCUGAAGAAUGGCAUGGGAUGGAUCCUUUCGAAUGCACUUGAGCAGCGGUCUCCAACCACAGGGCCACAGAGCUGGAGCUGGAUCUACCAUGAACGACUUCUGAAUCCAGGAAGAGAGACUGACUGGGCAACAUGUUAUUCAGGGUCUCCCUCUGUUGUCCAAGGCUGGAGUGUAGUAGUGCUAUCACAGCUGACUGCAGCCUCAACCUUCCAGGCUGAAGCGAUCCUCCCAUCUCAACCUCCCACG